ACGUAGGGUGCGAGCGUUAAUCGGAAUUACUGGGCGUAAAGCGUGCGCAGGCGGUUGUGUAAGACAGGUGUGAAAUCCCCGGGCUUAACCUGGGAACUGCGCUUGUGACUGCACGGCUAGAGUACGGCAGAGGGGGGUGGAAUGCCGCGUGUAGCAGUGAAAUGCGUAGAGAUGCGGCGGAACACCGAUGGCGAAGGCAGCCCCCUGGGCUGAGAUUGACGCUCAGGCACGAAAGCGUGGGGAGCAAACAGGA
This 253-nucleotide ribosomal RNA is filed under the name uncultured prokaryote. Its description in RNAcentral is "partial 16S ribosomal RNA". It matches the Rfam family "Bacterial small subunit ribosomal RNA", at positions 525 to 777 of the family's 1533-position model. The record is from RNAcentral.